AAGUAGCGGAGCAUGUGGUUUAAUUCGAAGCAACGCGAAGAACCUUACCUAAGCUUGACAUCCCAAUGACAUCCCCUUAAUCGGAGAGUUCCCUUCGGGGACAUUGGUGACAGGUGGUGCAUGGUUGGCGUCAGCUCGUGUCGUGAGAUGUUGGGUUAAGUCCCGCAACGAGCGCAACCCUUGUCUUUAGUUGCCAUCAUU
This 201-nucleotide ribosomal RNA is filed under the name Clostridioides difficile. RNAcentral's name for it is "partial 16S ribosomal RNA". It matches the Rfam family "Bacterial small subunit ribosomal RNA", at positions 927 to 1125 of the family's 1533-position model. The record is from RNAcentral. Lineage: Bacteria; Bacillati; Bacillota; Clostridia; Peptostreptococcales; Peptostreptococcaceae.